UUUUCUCAUAGUUUAUAGGUAAAAUAUUACACUGAAAAUGUAAAGAAAAAAGUUUUGAGGAAAA
This 64-nucleotide transfer RNA is filed under the name Ixodes hirsti. RNAcentral's name for it is "tRNA-Phe". It matches the Rfam family "tRNA". Rfam says of the family: Transfer RNA (tRNA) molecules are approximately 80 nucleotides in length. Their secondary structure includes four short double-helical elements and three loops (D, anti-codon, and T loops). The record is from RNAcentral. Lineage: Eukaryota; Metazoa; Arthropoda; Arachnida; Ixodida; Ixodidae.